GGUCGUAUAGUGUAGCGGUUAGCACAGCGGAUUCUGAUUCCGCUAACCCUGGUUCGAAUCCAGGUUCGACCU
Molecule: transfer RNA, 72 nt
Filed under: Cladophialophora bantiana CBS 173.52
Lineage: Eukaryota; Fungi; Ascomycota; Eurotiomycetes; Chaetothyriales; Herpotrichiellaceae
Description: tRNA-Gln (CTG) (tRNA-Gln-CTG-1-1)
Rfam family: tRNA
About the family: Transfer RNA (tRNA) molecules are approximately 80 nucleotides in length.
Source: RNAcentral